This 497-nucleotide long non-coding RNA is filed under the name Equus caballus (horse). Its description in RNAcentral is "lncRNA (ENSECAG00000028900.3)". The record is from RNAcentral. Lineage: Eukaryota; Metazoa; Chordata; Mammalia; Perissodactyla; Equidae.
GUUCUGUUCUCUGGUCUCCCAAGGCCCUUGAUUUAUGGGGUCCCCACAGACGGAAGCUUUCCCCCCAUCAGCAGGUCUCCACUGAAUCAGCGGCAGGAGUCCUGGAUGAUCCCCGGUCGCGCGGCCCCCUCCCCCGCUCCUUCCCUACCAGCGCCGCAGCGAUAGCAGAAUCUAGGGGAGGGAGCGACAUUCUCUCCUACCGUUCCAGCGCCUCUGAGACUAAUGAAGUUGAUCAUAUUCCCCAUUCUGCUCCAAGGAGGUUGGCAUUGGGACUAAAACUGAAGUAGUAAAGUUGGAUCUGAAUAAUGUUUGGAGGUGAACUGACUAUAAAGCUCAAGAGAGGAAGAUAAUGUGAAGAUUUAUGAAUAAGAAAUUUAUAAGAAUAACGUUAUACUGAAGGAUGAGGCAAAGUUCUGAAAUAGAAUCAAAUCAUUUGGAGUUCUCGCCCUUGCCAGACCCGUAGGAUUCUCACCCCUGACUUAAAAUCAGUCUUUUGC